GGAGCGGGAGGGGGCUGGGGCUGGGCUGUGACAUCACCAGAGAGGGGUGGGGGACAGACGCCCGGAAUCGGAGGCAGCAUCCCCUCGCUCAGCACUGCCUUUCACUCCCAGAGAGGGACUCGGUGGCGCCCAGCUGAACCUGCCUGCAGACUCGGAACGAAGCCCUUACUGCUUUCAACGGAAAUCAUAAAAACUGUGAACCAUCCACCUGCUGGGCCCGGGGACAUCAACACAGGCGCGUCAUAGGGAACAAAAAAAAAAUACAGCUAGGUGUGGGGUUGGGGCGCUUCUUUCACUGAAGAAGGUAUGUAGGGGCGGGCUAGGGAUCUGGACUCCAGAGAGUUAACAGGUGGGUCUUAACAUCGCAUCUGGUGUCUGGCCCAGAUCAUCAGAAGAAAGCCAGAACAUUGCAGGGAGUGCUGCUAACCAGGAUGACGACACAGCCGGCGAGCUGACCCGAACCUCCUUCCUGCAGGUGGAGACCUCCAUCCUUGUCCUCCUAUUCCGUGGCUGUCAUCACAUACUAUUACUCGGGUCUAGAUUCCCCGGCCCUCAACCCACACGCUUCUCUGGAUCCUCACUGGCCAACCCAGCCUUCACGGACUCUCCUCCGUUUUCCUUUUUCAGUAGGGCUUGGCUGGUAGCCGUUGCACUAUGGGGCCAGUCACAGCCCAGGACUGAGUAACUCGGACAGGGCCUAUGGUCGCUCACCCACCAGGACUCCCCGCACUGCUGUGGUGGGUGUGAUGACGUCAUGUGACCAUGAAACCAGGGCUCCAGACUUCCUCUCCACAGAGCCCCUGCCGGCAGCAUCUCCUGCUCCAGGCAGUUUGCUGGGCACUUUAAAUUGUUAGCCACUUAAUCCACAGCAGCCUGAGGGAGGCGGUGCUCCACCUCCGCUCACCACGCCACUGUGCAGUAAGAUUCCCUGUAAGCAACGCGGGCCCAGACCCUCCAUCUUCUGGCAGAUACUACCCCCACUCCCACCCCACCCCUCCAAAGCUGGGGAAAAGCUCCCCCCUUUUUGUUUCCCAGUAUCACCCGAAUAAGCUACUGGACAGCUAUAGACAACAGAGCUGAUAGGCAGCUAAUCUUCAAGGAUGAUAAGAACAAAAAGUCAUAAUGUUUAUGACUCCAUUUUUGCUUGUUAAUCCGGACAAAGCCGAUGGCUCUCCAGGCAGCUGAGCUUUUGCUAAGCAUUCAUGUCGAUUGAGUUUUUGAAUUGCCAGCAUAUGGAAGUAUGUUCCUUACCGUUGGCUGCCGCUGUGACAUAGGCCAACUAACAGAAGGGAAUGGUUUUUGUUAAGAAGGUAUACUGUCAGGGCAGUGGGAAGCUGUGUUCCCGGGAGGACAUGCUAGCAGGAGCCUGAGGCAGCAGGUCACACCGUGUUCACAGUCGGGAAGCAGAGGGAGAUGAAUGUUGAACCGGAUUAAUUUUUCUGCUUUAUUCAAUUCAGGACCACAGCCCUUGAGACGGUACUACCCACAUUUAGGGUUUUUCUCCCCUGAGUUAAGUUUUUCUGGAAAGACCUCAUAGACAAAGUCCAUAAUGUGUCUCCUGGUGAUGUUAAAUCCAGCCAGGUUGACAAUGAAAAAAGAUGCCAUUGUUUCUGUACUUUUUUUGUUAUAUAUGUUCCUUCCACUUUGUGGUGUGUGUGUGUGUGUGUGUGUGUGUGUGUGUGUGUGUGUGUGUGUGUGUGUGUGUUAUAUGCAUUUAUGAGUGAAGCCACAUGUGUGUGCAAGUGCAUUGCAUAUGUGCACUUGUAUGCAGCAGCCAGAGGCUGACACAGUAUUUUCCUUGGCCACCCACCUUGUGUGCUGAGGUAAGGUCUCUCAAGUGAUCCCAGAGUUUACUGAUUGGGUGAGUCUACCUAUCCAGCUCUAUCCAGAGAUUCCUGUCUGAGUCUCCCAAGCAAUGGGAUCAGGUGGGCCACCACACCUACCCAGCAUUUACACAGAUCCUGGGGCACGGAACUCUAGUCCCUCACACCUUCGAAGCAAACACUUACCCAUUGAGCCGUUUCCCCAGCCCCAUUUCUUCUUUUUGAUGUGAUUUUGAAUAUUGUCAGAAAUCCAACUUUAGUUUUGUGAAUCUUCUCGGUUUCCCCUUUAUUUUAUUUAUUUCUGUCCCCGUCUGUUAUUUCCUUCACGAGUCUUUGGAUUCUGUUUGUGUCUCUCUUUAAGCUUUUCCGUAUUCUAAAAUUUCAGUAUCUAUUUAGAGCUGCAGAACUCCUUCUCCAGUCCUGCCUCAGACUGAUCUAACCAGUUGGCUCCUGCAUUUUCGUGGUCAUUCUGAUCUAAAUGUUUGUGUGCCUAAUGACCUCUCUUGAAUAAUUUUACUUUCCUGUAGUGUGUGUUUGUAAUCUUUUGUUACCACUUUCCAAUUAAACCUCCUUACAUUACAAAGUACGUUCAGUCAAGGUCCUGGCCAGAAGUAUAUGUAUGUACGUGCACUGUGUGAAUUCAGGAGGCUGAAGAGACAAGAAGGGGGCAUUGGAUCACCUAGGACUGAAGUUACAGUGGGCUGUAAGCCUCCAUGUGGGUGCUGGGAACUGGAGCCUGGUCCUCUGUAUACAGCCAGUGCUCCUAACAGCUGAGCCUCUACAGAUCUUGAUCAUUUUGUUGUUGUUUGUUUGCUUGCUUUUUGUUUUGUUUGUGUGAGACAGGGUUCCUCUGUAAAGCCCUGGCUGCCCUGGAAUUCACUCUGUAGACCAGGCUAACCUUGAACUCUCAGAGAUCCACCUGCCUCUGCCUCCCAAGUGCUGGAGUUAAAGACAUGUGCCACCACUGCCCAGUCAAUUCUUGGAACUUUUAAGUCUACUUUGUUUCAACCUUUAAUUUUCUAACUUAAUCCACUAUAAUAAUCAACUAUAUCAAGACCCAGUUUUAACACCAUAUUUUAAAUGUCCAUUAAUUCAAUGGCGUUCUCCUUAUUUCUCAUUAAAUAAUCUGAGUUUUCUUCUGCUAAAUUAUUCUUACUUUUAUUCUAUGACAAUUGCUCUGAACUUAAGACUCAUUUUGAUUUAUCCUGUAUCCAAGUUUAAAUUUUUCUUUAAAAAUUAUAUGUGUGUUUGAGUGUGUGUACACGUGUGUGCAAGUGACUUAAGAGGCCAGGGGAGGGCAUCAGAUUCCCUGGAGAUGGAGUGACAAGCCACUGAGAGCCACCCACUGUGGCUGCUGGGAACUGAACUCACGUCAUUUGGAAGAGCAACAAGUGUUAACUGCUUAGCCAUCUCUCCAGUCCCAACAAGUCUGCUUUUUUUGUUUGUUUGUUUGUUUGUUUGUUACAAUAAUAAUACAAUUUGCCAGGCAAAGGUGGUGCACAUCUUUAAUCCCAGCAUUGGGAGGCAGAGGCAGGAGGAUCUCUGUGAAUUUGAGCCAGCCUGGUCUACAGAAUGAGUUCCAAGACAAGUUCCAAGGUUACACAGAGAAACCCUGUCUCAAAAACCAAAAAAACAAAAAUAAAAUAUUUAAAACAAUGAAAUUACAGAAAGGAAAGGCUCGGUGUCAGCAGAUGACUCUGGAGGUUCCAGGCACAACAGGGGAGGGCGACUCCUCCGCCUUGGCCCUCUGGUGAGGGCUGGAGUGUGCUGGAGCCAAGUGUUUAUCUCCAAUGCCUUCAGGGCUUCCCACUAGGCUCCACCUUCUAAAAAUCUGUGCCCUCUCCCCACAGUGCCACCUGGGGUCAGGACUUGGUGUGGGACACUCACUGUGCAGAGCACAGGACUCACACACCUAUGGAGGACGCAUAGUCUCAAUGUUCACUUGCUGGGCAUCACUUUGGUCCCUUCUUCCCUAUCGCAGGCACUGUUGAGUCUGUCUAGACUUAUAGCUAUGGCAGAAACACAGUCUUCUUCCCCUGGCUCCUUGCUUUAAACCAGUGGAUGCACAUUCUGAAAUACUUGACCCUCUUGUUGCCUCAUUCUCCAUGCUUGCUUUGAGACCGGGUCUCACUUAGCCCUGGCUCGACUAAAAUCUGCUGUGUAGCUGAGAAUGACCUUGAGCCUCUGAGCUUCUUGGUGGGUAUCACCUUGUCUAGCUCCAUACUUCUUGAAGCUUCUUUUAUAUCUACAUUAUUCAUGACAUGUAAAGUCUUCUAACAUGGAUCCUGGCUGGAAAUUAUUCUGAUGUCUCAGAGGCAGGAGGAUUGCAAUAUUUCCAGGCCAGCCUAGGCUAUGCAGUGAGUCCCAAGCUAAUGUGGCCGACACAGUGAGACUUUACCAUGUGUGCACACACACACACACACACACACACACACACACACACACACGCACACGCACACGCACACACACUUUACAAAGGAGGAGGUGGAGCAGAAGCCGUGCUGACUGGCGUGCUCAAAGAAAUUAUGGAAGAACACAGAAACACAAAAUUAGAACAAAAGAGAAAACAGAUUUAGAGUUAGUGAAACGCUCCACACAAAUAACUUGAAAAAUAUGUGUGAAGUGAAUGGUUUUGUGAAUAAAUCAGCUGAAACUCAAAUAGACGGGCAUCAUGGAGGAAAUGGACACUUUCACAGAGAAGCACCCCACAGACUUGGCCAGGAGAAUUUCACAUUCUUUCAAACAUAAAAAUAGUCGAGAGUCGUCUGGUGUUGGCUAAAGCGAUUUACAGCUGCAAAAUGGAAGAUGUUCAUGAAACCCUUUUUCAAAGUCAGGACAACAGCGAUGCCUGGUGGGGAGGCCUUAGUGACCUCCACGGGUUUCCUGGUGAUGCUAACACUGUAGUAACACCGUGACCAGGCAGGAUCCAGUACUACAUUCUGUGCUACACCACGGCUAAACCUUUGGAUUGAAGUGGUCAAGACGAGGGUAGCUAAGCAGUCAAAGGUGUGUCCACCUUGGAUAAAGAGUCCCGGCUAUGUUGCUCAGUACAAAAAUAAAAAAUAAGCAUCCCCUUUGGGAUUGACCUCCUCUUCUACUGGAGAAAAGAGAAGCUUGGCAGCGUCUCACUAGGCAAUUUCAGCCUUGGGGCGACCAGGGGCAGAGGUCAACCCAAUCCUCCAGCAAUUGUGUGACCUCCACAAGUGCUCAGCCCUGGGCUAGUCCUCCCCGGGUGGGAGAAGAGCACCCUCAGGCACCUGAGUUAGCAAUGAAUUAGCAGAUGUGAAUGCUGAGCCUGGGUCUGGGCACACAGCAAAGCCCACAUACACAAGACAAAUAGUGAGACAGCAAAGUAGCUCCCGUUAUCAUAAGGAUGUGCACUCUUGCUUCAACUCAAGUAUCAUCUGAUACAUAUAGAGAAGAGAAGAAAAUGUGACAUAAGAAGAGAAAUAUUCAUAUCCACCUCUGCCCACCAAAGUUGCUAAAAUUCUUAUUAUUUAUUGACUACAGGACCAUCUUUUGUUCCAUAUUUUUCUCCUAGACCAAAUCUUUGGUUCUAAGACCUGACUUCUCUUCUUGGACCUUACAGGACAAUGGAAUGCCUUUCGCUCUAAUGAGCAAAAUUUGGUGGGCUCCUGGACAGUUUUGGGCCCAAGGCUUGUCAUAGAAAGCUUAAGCUGUACUGGGAGCUGGGAACUUCCGAUCUCAUCCCCUUAUCCUUGGGGAUAGAGAGGUUCUAUCGAGAGAUCAUAGCCUAUAGUAUGUUCUGGACUGAAGAAGCAUUCUCCUUAUCAGGGAAGGCCAUCCUACUCUGCUGAGCACAACACUUCAAGAGUGACACAGAGUAGUGAGGGAGGCCACAUAAGCGGCUGGAUCAGCUGAAUUAAAUGUGUCCACUGGGACUGAACUCCACAACUCUGCAUUUUGAUUGGUUGUGGGUUUCUGGGAUGCUCUCCACGUGUUGCAAAGAGAAGUUUCCUUAAUGAGAGGAUCCAUGACUUCACUAGCCCAGGCUAGUUGGCUAGGUGUUCUGGUACCAGGCAUUAUUUCCCUUGCAUUGAGCUGGUCUUAUGACUUCUAAACAUGAGCAAAACAAGGAUGACACAGUGGACAUGCUAACAUGGAUGGGGCGGGGUGUAUCCUGGAGGUCGCUACCCUACACAAAGAGCGACAGACAACUAAGAAUGCAAGGAGAGGGAGAAAUAACCUUCCCCAGGAAAGAAUACAGCAAUUGUUUAUCCAACGAUCAUAUCUGUAAACAUACACACAGACUAAACAGGCUGUAAUUAUGUGUUUAGGAAUUUAUGUGUAUAUAUACACGUAUACAUGUAACAACAGUUAAUGAAAAAAAGAGGCCAUAAAUUUGAAAGCGA
Long non-coding RNA from Peromyscus californicus insignis, 6196 nucleotides. RefSeq lists it as uncharacterized. The record is from RefSeq and is a predicted model, not a curated record. Lineage: Eukaryota; Metazoa; Chordata; Mammalia; Rodentia; Cricetidae. The transcript is spliced from 4 exons.